Molecule: long non-coding RNA, 214 nt
Filed under: Elaeis guineensis (African oil palm)
Lineage: Eukaryota; Viridiplantae; Streptophyta; Magnoliopsida; Arecales; Arecaceae
Description: long non-coding RNA (EGUI_LNC010350)
Source: RNAcentral
AGAUUUGAAGAAAAGAAUUGUAAAACAGGUAUAUAAUUUGAUUACAAUUUGAAUUUCAGCAUAUAGGAUAGAUCCAUGUGGUUUGAUAUUUUCAUGCAUGCAUAAUUUAGAUUAAAAGUAUGUUGAUCUUGUUCUUCACUGUGGUAUUUAAAAAAUAAAAUUUUUAAAAAUAUAUGUAUACACCAAACUCCAAAUUCCAACAUCCACAUUAUGC